CCUACGUGAGGCUGCAGUGGGGAAUAUUGCGCAAUGGGCGAAAGCCUGACGCAGCGACGCCGCGUGAGGGAUGAAGGUCUUCGGAUCGUAAACCUCUGUCAGCAGGGAAGAACGGUCACUGUGCUAAUCAGCAGUGAAUUGACGGUACCUGCAAAGGAAGCACCGGCUAACUCCGUGCCAGCAGCCGCGGUAAUACGGAGGGUGCGAGCGUUAAUCGGAAUUACUGGGCGUAAAGCGCUCGUAGGCGGUAUGUCAAGUCAAGGGUGAAAUCCCCGCGCUCAACGUGGGAACUGCCUUUGAAGCUGGCAAACUGGAGUGUGUGAGAGGAUAGUGGAAGUCCAGGUGUAGGAGUGAAAUCCGUAGAUAUCUGGAGGAACAUCAGUGGCGAAGGCGACUAUCUGGCACAUAACUGACGCUGAGGAGCGAAAGCGUGGGUAGCAAACAGGAUUAGAUACCCCGGUAGUC
This 465-nucleotide ribosomal RNA is filed under the name uncultured bacterium. RNAcentral's name for it is "partial 16S ribosomal RNA". It matches the Rfam family "Bacterial small subunit ribosomal RNA", at positions 338 to 795 of the family's 1533-position model. The record is from RNAcentral.